ACGUAGGUGGCAAGCGUUGUCCGGAAUUACUGGGUGUAAAGGGAGCGCAGGCGGGAGAGCAAGUUGGAAGUGAAAUCUGUGGGCUCAACUCACAAAUUGCUUUCAAAACUGUUUUUCUUGAGUGGUGUAGAGGUAGGCGGAAUUCCCGGUGUAGCGGUGGAAUGCGUAGAUAUCGGGAGGAACACCAGUGGCGAAGGCGGCCUACUGGGCACUAACUGACGCUGAGGCUCGAAAGCAUGGGUAGCAAACAG
Molecule: ribosomal RNA, 251 nt
Filed under: uncultured bacterium
Lineage: Bacteria
Description: partial 16S ribosomal RNA
Rfam family: Bacterial small subunit ribosomal RNA
Source: RNAcentral